GCUGCCGCUCCGCCCUCACCUGAGCCUGAGGUUGGCCAUGAACUCGGGCAUGGAGACGGUGUCCAUCAGCACGAAGUCUGCCUUGCCGAAUUCCAGGCUCUCCUGCUCCGCCAUGGCGCCGGUGCGGGGGCUCAGGAUUAUUACAGAUGUCUUGAGCAUGGGACCAUUCUUUUUGCAUCCACCAAAUAACUAUUAUACUACCUUGCAUAUAUAAAUAUGAAAUCCAUACUGGUUCAAUGGAAUGAAGUGAGUUGACAUCUUCUAUUACAAAAUCUACUAGGAAAUCUAGAGGCCUCCAAGGACCUGGCUGGGCUUCAACUCUGGUUGAGUUUGAGAUGAGUAAACCAGACUGAAGGACCUUGCCCAAGGCCUGCUUCAGCUGCCAGCCACCCACACUUGCUAAGAAAAAGGGAAGUGGCUUUGUCACCUCCUGAGGGACUGCCUCUGCCAUCAGAAAACCACUCCAACCCCUGGCACCAGCAGAGCUGGGCUGCAUCUGACUACUGUUAGCAGCUGUCCUUCAGAAGGAGGAGAUCCACCUGUCUCGAUAUGAGUGUCCUCAUUCGUGGAAUAAAAGCUCUGGAAUAAGGU
RNAcentral lists this non-coding RNA (591 nucleotides) under Pongo abelii (Sumatran orangutan). Lineage: Eukaryota; Metazoa; Chordata; Mammalia; Primates; Hominidae. The record is from RNAcentral.